GACGAACCGAGCGAACGUUGUUCGGAAUCACUGGGCUUAAAGGGCGCGUAGGCGGCUUGCCAAGUCAGGGGUGAAAUCCUGCAGCUUAACUGUAGAAGGGCCUUUGAUACUGGCGAGCUCGAGGGAGGUAGGGGUAUGUGGAACUUCCGGUGGAGCGGUGAAAUGCGUUGAUAUCGGAAGGAACGCCGGUGGCGAAAGCGACGUACUGGACCUCUUCUGACGCUGAGGCGCGAAAGCUAGGGGAGCAAACAGG
RNAcentral lists this ribosomal RNA (253 nucleotides) under uncultured bacterium. RNAcentral's name for it is "partial 16S ribosomal RNA". It matches the Rfam family "Bacterial small subunit ribosomal RNA", at positions 524 to 776 of the family's 1533-position model. The record is from RNAcentral.